Molecule: long non-coding RNA, 2067 nt
Organism: Odocoileus virginianus texanus
Lineage: Eukaryota; Metazoa; Chordata; Mammalia; Artiodactyla; Cervidae
Source: RefSeq, a predicted model, not a curated record
CACUUCUGAGCUGUGUGGCCUUGGGAGUGUUUGCCUCUGAAACUCAGCUGUCUCCGAAUUAACACAGAAUUUCACAUUUCUUCUUCUGAAAAAAAGGGGGCUCAAAUCCUGAUCUCCCAAAGCAGGUGUGAGGAUUAGAACUGGUCCUUCAUCUUAACGAAUCUGAAGUUUUCACCUGGAGCCACUGGCUCCUACCUUCCAAAUUCCAUUGUGUUCACAGAGAUGAAAGGUAAUUUCACUGAAUGAUACUGAAAAUGCUUUCAGAGAUCCUUAUUUUACCUCCGUGACUUAGCCAAGAAGUGUUUUUCAAACCCUUUCCAUGAAACAGAAAUCUAUGUAAUCUUAACUUUGGCCCUGGAAACUCUACUCACCAAACACACGUGAUCUGCAUCUACCCAGGUCAGAUGCUGCACCUGCUGGAUACCGGGGAUAAAGCAGUGAAUGGGACAGACGUGGUCCUUGAACCACGGACCACAUGUACAUGACUGCGCAUGUCAGAACCUGGUCAGCUUCCUUAGGUCCAGCUCCUCUACCUGUCCCACAUGGAUGACAAGACCUCAGAGGUAUAGGGAGAGUUCCUCUCUCCAUCCCUCUCCACUUGCUGCCUCAUCAGUCUUAUCUCUUCGCUGCCCAAGUCUGAAAUGUCUUUUUCUGGUUAUCUGUAUCCAGAGCGAUGUCAAGAUUCACAUGUAUCUAACUAAAAUCCUCACAGGUAUGAAAAAGGUAUCAUAAAAAUAUGAAUGGGGGAAAUUUAUUGGUGGGCAACGAACUACAAUAUGACCAUAUUAAUAGUCACAACAAAAGUAAUGAGCAUUUAUUAAGCACCUGUCUCUUGCCAGGCACUGCACUAUCACAUUUAAGCCAGCAACAACUCUUCAAGGCAUCAGAAUCCAUUUUUCAGACAAGGAAACUGAGACUCAGAUCACACGGAGGCCCAAAGUCACACAACUGUCAAUUUCAGAGGGAAGGUUGAAUCCCAGGACAGUCUGAGUCUCAGGUCAGUGGCCCAACAAUAUAAUUGUCUGUUACCUGCUUUAAAAAUCAGCUUCUUUAUAUUUUACCACUCUAUAAAUAUCUCUUCUCAAGUGGAUAUAGUAGGAAUCCUUAAAAUCUCUCAGCUGGAGACUGUACAAUACAAUAGAUUGCUUUUUCUUUAAAAUUAAGUCGUUUAUUUAUUUUUUUUUAAAGGAAAACAAAAACCUUUGGGAGACAUGUUUCAAAAUCUUCCUAAUGAGGUAUUUAGCUGAUAAUCCACAAUGGCUUUGAUUGUGGGAUAAAUAUGGGAUUGCUACUCAGACCUUCCGGAAAAUAUACGUAAUUACAAAGAUUAAGCAAAGUAUGACUAACAAAUAGUUUUUCAACUCCUGGCACGGAAAACUGCAGCAUCAAGAGGCUUUAGGCUGGAAUGUUAAGCAUCAUAUCUGCCCCCCAAACACCCUCCAAGGCCUUUCUGCUGCAUGAACUCUCUUCCUGAAGAUUUGAAUGAGGUGCAACAUGGUCUGUGAUGAAGUAGAAAGCCAGCCCUUUGGCCCUACCCCCUUCUCGGGUCCACCACUGCCCCUUUACGAGUCAGCCAGCCUCAGAGCUCUCAGCAGCAAUUAUAUUAUGAAUGAUUCCAGGUUCUUUUUAUUGGGAAGGUUUUGAAGUCAUGAGAUUUGAAAGCAAACAAGACCCUGGGUGUUUAAAUCCUGCCAGAUGGGAGGAAACUUCCAGAGCUGAUGGAUAAGCUGCUGGCAUUGAUAAUCAUGAUGUUUUCACAAGUCUAUACUUAAUCUCCAAACAUAUCAGGUUGUAUAUAUUAAUUACCUACAGCUUACUGUAUGCCAAUCAUAUCUCAGGAAAGCAGUUAAAAACUGUUAUAUUGAUUAGUUACUUGGAUGUGUAAUAACGGACCAAAUGUACUUCAAGACCUUCAUCCUAAGGAUUUUGUUCAGAAGGCAUGGGUGAAUGUUGUGACUGUCUUACUUCUUCCCUAAGGACAGUUCAAAAACCAGCCUCAGGUGGUCUUCUAAGGAAAUAUACUCUGAGCAGUUAACAAAAUAUACCCUGUCAGAGGCAAAAGUCAAA